Molecule: transfer RNA, 87 nt
Filed under: Streptococcaceae bacterium
Lineage: Bacteria; Bacillati; Bacillota; Bacilli; Lactobacillales; Streptococcaceae
Description: tRNA-Ser
Rfam family: tRNA
About the family: Transfer RNA (tRNA) molecules are approximately 80 nucleotides in length. Their secondary structure includes four short double-helical elements and three loops (D, anti-codon, and T loops). Further hydrogen bonds mediate the characteristic L-shaped molecular structure. tRNAs have two regions of fundamental functional importance: the anti-codon, which is responsible for specific mRNA codon recognition, and the 3' end, to which the tRNAs corresponding amino acid is attached (by aminoacyl-tRNA synthetases). tRNAs cope with the degeneracy of the genetic code in two manners: having more than one tRNA (with a specific anti-codon) for a particular amino acid; and 'wobble' base-pairing, i.e. permitting non-standard base-pairing at the 3rd anti-codon position.
Source: RNAcentral
GGAGAGGUGUCCGAGUGGCUGAAGGAGCACGCUUGGAAAGCGUGUAAUGGGUUAUACCAUUCGCGGGUUCGAAUCCCGUCCUCUCCU